GAGUUUGAUCGUGGCUCAGAUUGAACGCUGGCGGCAUGCCUUACACAUGCAAGUCGAGCGGCAGCGCGGGGGCAACCCUGGCGGCGAGCGGCGAACGGGUGAGUAAUACAUCGGAACGUGUCCAGUAGCGGGGGAUAACCUGUCGAAAGAUAGGCUAAUACCGCAUACGACCUACGGGUGAAAGCGGGGGACCGCAAGGCCUCGCACUAUUGGAGCGGCCGUUGUCGGAUUAGCUAGUUGGCGGGGUAACGGCCCACCAAGGCGACGAUCCGUAGCUGGUCUGAGAGGACGAUCAGCCACACUGGAACUGAGACACGGUCCAGACUCCUACGGGAGGCAGCAGUGGGGAAUUUUGGACAAUGGGCGCAAGCCUGAUCCAGCCAUGCCGCGUGAGUGAAGAAGGCCUUCGGUUGUAAG
Molecule: ribosomal RNA, 417 nt
Filed under: uncultured beta proteobacterium
Lineage: Bacteria; Pseudomonadati; Pseudomonadota; Betaproteobacteria
Description: bacterial SSU rRNA
Rfam family: Bacterial small subunit ribosomal RNA
Source: RNAcentral